Molecule: ribosomal RNA, 1207 nt
Filed under: metagenome
Description: bacterial SSU rRNA
Rfam family: Bacterial small subunit ribosomal RNA
Source: RNAcentral
GGGUUAGGGGGUCUGAGAGGAUGAUCCCCCACACUGGUACUGAGACACGGACCAGACUCCUACGGGAGGCAGCAGUGAGGAAUAUUGGGCAAUGGGCGCAAGCCUGACCCAGCCAUGCCGCGUGAAGGAUGAAUGCCCUAUGGGUUGUAAACUUCUUUUGUACGGGACGAAACUCCUGGUCGUGACCGGGAUUGACUGUACCGUGCGAAUAAGCAUCGGCUAACUCCGUGCCAGCAGCCGCGGUAAUACGGAGGAUGCAAGCGUUAUCCGGAUUCAUUGGGUUUAAAGGGUGCGUAGGCGGAAUAAUAAGUCAGUGGUGAAAGCCUGCGGCUUAACCGUAGAAUUGCCAUUGAUACUGUUAUUCUUGAGUAUAGUUGAGGUGGGCGGAAUGUGUAAUGUAGCGGUGAAAUGCUUAGAUAUUACACAGAACACCAAUUGCGAAGGCAGCUCACUAAGCUGUUACUGACGCUGAGGCACGAAAGCGUGGGGAGCAAACAGGAUUAGAUACCCUGGUAGUCCACGCUGUAAACGAUGAUCACUCGUUGUUGGCGAUAUACCGUCAGCGACUGAGCGAAAGCAAUAAGUGAUCCACCUGGGGAGUACGGCGGCAACGCUGAAACUCAAAGGAAUUGACGGGGGCCCGCACAAGCGGAGGAACAUGUGGUUUAAUUCGAUGAUACGCGAGGAACCUUACCUGGGCUUGAAAGGGGAACGACCUCCCGGGAAACCGGGAUUCUCUUCGGAGCGUUCUCCUAGGUGCUGCAUGGUUGUCGUCAGCUCGUGCCGUGAGGUGUCGGGUUAAGUCCCAUAACGAGCGCAACCCCUAUUGUUAGUUGCCAGCGGGUAAUGCCGGGAACUCUAACGAAACUGCCGGUGUAAACCGUGAGGAAGGUGGGGAUGACGUCAAAUCAGCACGGCCCUUAUGUCCAGGGCUACACACGUGUUACAAUGGCCGGUACAAAGGGCAGCUACUUGGUGACAAGAUGCUAAUCUCGAAAACCGGUCUCAGUUCGGAUCGAAGUCUGCAACUCGACUUCGUGAAGCUGGAUUCGCUAGUAAUCGCGCAUCAGCAAUGGCGCGGUGAAUACGUUCCCGGGCCUUGUACACACCGCCCGUCAAGCCAUGGAAGCUGGGGGUACCUGAAGUCUGUAACCGAAAGGAGCGGCCUAGGGUAAACCAGUGACUGGGGCUAAGUCGUAACAAGGUA